GUAGGUGGCAAGCGUUGUCCGGAAUUAUUGGGCGUAAAGCGCGCGCAGGCGGUUCGUUUAAGUCUGAUGUGAAAGACCCACGGGCUCAACCGUGGAGGGUCAUUGGAAACUGGAGAACUUGAGUACAGAAGAGGAAAGCGGAAUUCCACGUGUAGCGGUGAAAUGCGUAGAGAUGUGGAGGAACACCAGUGGCGAAGGCGGCUUUCUGGUCUGUAACUGACGCUGAGGCGCGAAAGCGUGGGGAGCAAACAGGAUUAGAUACCCUGGUAGUCCACGCCGUAAACGAUGAGUGCUAAGUGUUAGGGGGUUUCCGCCCCUUAGUGCUGCAGCUAACGCAUUAAGCACUCCGCCUGGGGAGUACGGCCGCAAGGCUG
This 374-nucleotide ribosomal RNA is filed under the name uncultured organism. RNAcentral describes it as "partial 16S ribosomal RNA". It matches the Rfam family "Bacterial small subunit ribosomal RNA", at positions 527 to 896 of the family's 1533-position model. The record is from RNAcentral.